This 434-nucleotide ribosomal RNA is filed under the name Lachnospiraceae bacterium oral taxon 096. RNAcentral describes it as "bacterial SSU rRNA". It matches the Rfam family "Bacterial small subunit ribosomal RNA", at positions 28 to 437 of the family's 1533-position model. Lineage: Bacteria; Bacillati; Bacillota; Clostridia; Lachnospirales; Lachnospiraceae. The record is from RNAcentral.
GAUGAACGCUGGCGGCGUGCUUAACACAUGCAAGUCGAACGAAGCUAUUGUUUGGAAACCUUCGGGUGGAAAAAUGAUAGACUGAGUGGCGGACGGGUGAGUAACGCGUGGGUAACCUACCUUGCACAGGGGGACAACAGUUGGAAACGACUGCUAAUACCGCAUAAGACCACGGUACCGCAUGGUACAGGGGUAAAAACUGAGGUGGUGCAAGAUGGACCCGCGUCUGAUUAGCUAGUUGGUGGGGUAAAGGCCUACCAAGGCGACGAUCAGUAGCCGACCUGAGAGGGUGAUCGGCCACAUUGGGACUGAGACACGGCCCAAACUCCUACGGGAGGGCAGCAGUGGGGAAUAUUGGACAAUGGGGGGAAACCCCUGAUCCAGCGACGCCGCGUGAGUGAAAGAAAGUAUUUUCGGUAAGUAAAAGCUCUAUC